GCAAAACAUCAUGGAAGCUGUAGUUUUAAAACAUCUGGGGAUGUAUCUUUUGGGCACCCCUGAUUUAGGCUUUCAGGAACCCUCUAAAUCCUACCAGGCGGUUUAGGGGCUUCUAGCUCAGUAAUGCAGCCAUUCUCACAAGCCUCCUGGCAGAUGUUUGUCAGAGUAUUAACAUAGAUAUCCCAAGUGUGAGAGGAUGUCAGGGGGUUUACAGCAAGACUUAUCAUGAUGGAGGAGACUACAGUGACUCACUGACCUGC
Non-coding RNA from Pelobates cultripes (western spadefoot toad), 260 nucleotides. Lineage: Eukaryota; Metazoa; Chordata; Amphibia; Anura; Pelobatidae. The record is from the annotation of a GenBank genome assembly.